CCUACGGGAGGCAGCAGUGAGGAAUAUUGGUCAAUGGGCGCAAGUCUGAACCAGCCAUGCCGCGUGCAGGAAGACUGCUCUAUGAGUUGUAAACUUCUUUUGUACGAGGGUAAACGCAGAUACGCGUCUCUGUCUGAAAGUAUCGUACGAAUAAGGAUCGGCUAACUCCGUGCCAGCAGCCGCGGUAAUACGGAGGAUUCAAGCGUUAUCCGGAUUUAUUGGGUUUAAAGGGAGCGUAGACGGGCGGAUAAGUUAGAGGUGAAAUCUCGAGGCUCAACUUCGGAAUUGCCAUUGAUACUGUCAGGCUAGAGAGCAGUUGCGGUAGGCGGAAUGCAUGGUGUAGCGGUGAGAUGCUGAGAGAUCAGACAGAACACCGAUUGCGAAGGCAGCUUACCAAGCUACCUCUGACGUUGAGGCACGAAAGCGUGGGGAGCAAACAGGAUUAGAUACCCUAGUAGUC
RNAcentral lists this ribosomal RNA (460 nucleotides) under uncultured bacterium. Its description in RNAcentral is "partial 16S ribosomal RNA". It matches the Rfam family "Bacterial small subunit ribosomal RNA", at positions 338 to 795 of the family's 1533-position model. The record is from RNAcentral.